Long non-coding RNA from Sander lucioperca (pikeperch), 326 nucleotides. RefSeq lists it as uncharacterized. The record is from RefSeq and is a predicted model, not a curated record. The transcript has 2 exons. NCBI's taxonomy places the organism in Eukaryota, Metazoa, Chordata, Actinopteri, Perciformes, Percidae.
AGUUCUUGAGCUGCAGCACAGGUUAUAGAAACCUGAUGCCUUGAUUCUAUUGCAUGGAAAGGCAUAACAAAGAAAACUGACUCCAAUGCCAAAACUGACUGCGAUUCCCGAAGCCGUGGUUUAAAUUAGGUUGAAGAAAACAUUAAUUAGGAGAACCACACAACUGGUCUUUAUGGCACUCAUUCCCUCUUGAUGAAAGCAGCUAUGAAAGCAAUUUCUCUUGAAUUGAGCAGCAUCAAGUCAUACGCUGAGGAGUCUCUACGACAUAAUGAAUGACCAAGAAGGGAAAUACUUGUAGCAGUGAUGGGCAGGGGAACUUCUUCUUU